Molecule: long non-coding RNA, 772 nt
Filed under: Rattus norvegicus (Norway rat)
Lineage: Eukaryota; Metazoa; Chordata; Mammalia; Rodentia; Muridae
Description: long non-coding RNA NONRATT005589
Source: RNAcentral
AAGGGAAAGAAGGCUUUCUUUCGGCCCUUUUCGUUUCUCCGCCUUCCUCCUUCCUCCCCUCCCCCACCUUUCCCUCCUCCGGCCUUUCUCUUCUUAUUCUGGGAGGUCUUUCCUGGAGGCCGCCCGGACGGGUUCUGAGCACUUAGGCGGCGGUGGCGCAGGCUUUUUGUAGCGAGAUUUGCGCCUGCGCAGCGCGUCUGCCUCGCCAUGCACGGGGGUGGCCCUCCCUCCGGGGACAGCGCAUGCCCGCUGCGCACCAUCAAGAGAGUGCAGUUCGGCGUCCUGAGUCCGGAUGAGUUGGUAAGCUGCUCCGCCCUUCUCUCUCCGAUGCCUCUGGCUGAUCCUCUGGGAGGAUGGGUCAGUGACGCUGAUGUUGUGCGGGGUCCAGCCUUCAGCUUCCCAAAGUUAAUUAUGUCAAGACCUAGACCAGCGUGAUGUUAUAUGUCUGUGAUGAGUGUUUGGCUGGGCAGAGAAGAUGAUUUCGUACUUGAGCAUCGCUACGGUUCAACGAGACAAGAGUUGAAAUUUGUACAGUAAAUGGAUUCUCAAGUUCUUCUCCUUUUACAAAUAUUGAGCACCGUGUUAUGUGACAAUCGGGCACCGGGAACACAGCUGCACAAUAUAACAAGAACUCGACCUUCUAAAACACUGUAUGUGGUAAAAAUAGCAGAGAAGACAGCACAAAAACAAAAAGAAUGAGCAAAAAUAAAUUCAGUUAAGUUCCUAAAUUAAAGCAAAACGAGAAAAUAAAAGCAAAACGAGGUAAUGCUGU